This 253-nucleotide ribosomal RNA is filed under the name uncultured bacterium. RNAcentral's name for it is "partial 16S ribosomal RNA". It matches the Rfam family "Bacterial small subunit ribosomal RNA", at positions 524 to 776 of the family's 1533-position model. The record is from RNAcentral.
GACGAACCGUGCGAACGUUGUUCGGAUUCACUGGGCUUAAAGGGCGCGUAGGCGGGCAGUCAAGUCUGGGGUGAAAUCUUUCGGCUCAACCGGAAAAGGGCCUUGGAUACUGGCUGUCUUGAGGGAGGUAGGGGCAUGUGGAACUUCCGGUGGAGCGGUGAAAUGCGUAGAUAUCGGAAGGAACGCCGGUGGCGAAAGCGACGUGCUGGACCUCUUCUGACGCUGAGGCGCGAAAGCCAGGGGAGCAAACGGG